RNAcentral lists this long non-coding RNA (5627 nucleotides) under Mus musculus (house mouse). Its description in RNAcentral is "long non-coding RNA chr3:141477179-141482806". Lineage: Eukaryota; Metazoa; Chordata; Mammalia; Rodentia; Muridae. The record is from RNAcentral.
UAGAUUCUUACACAAGCAUUUCUUAAUAAAAUGAAGAAGUCCUCUUUAGUGUCAUUAACUGUUUUAACUCAUUUCAGGCCACUGUAAGUGUUCAUUUUGAAUCAAUUGUGAGCUUACAUUGUCAAAGUUUACAUAAUGAAAUUACUAACCAAAAUGCUAUUUACUGACAUCUUAUACAAGGGCCUUGGUGAAUCCUCUUGUCUGUAGUGUAUAAUUCAGACAUUAAUAACAGAUGGGAGUAUUCCACCAUCCAACCCAAUGGACUUUGAUUUUAAAUUUUCAAUCUAUUUUUAAGGCCAAAACAUCUUUUUAAAUGUCUAUUUCCAUACAUGGGGGGAGGGCCCUUUUGUAAUGCAGGAAAUUUAAUUCUAUUGUGAAUUGAAGAAAGAAUAUCAUUGUAUUUAGCUGCAUAAUAAAUAUGUACUCAUCUACAAACUUGUGUUAUAAAAUUGAAUUAUGUUUAAAAUAUAAUAAGAUGAUCUGAGAUUGGUUGAAAUAGGACAGUUAUUACAUUAGUUUAGAACAGUUUUUAGGGAAAUUCCCUGCUAUAUAAGAGACUGUUGCUUUCUUGGACAAUUUUAAGCAUAUGUUCUUCUUUUGGUAUGAACUACGUUAUGAACUACAUAUAAAAAGAAAAGAUGGAAUAAAUAUAUUCCCUCUUUAAUGCAUUUGUUUAUGCUUGCAGCUCUUUUCUUAAAAUAGAUGUCUAACACUGAGAUUUAUCACAGCAUUCACAUAAGCUCUCUCUCUCUCUCUCUCUCUCUCUCUCUCUCUCUCUCUCUCUCUCUCUCUCUCUCUCUCUCUUUCUCUCUCCUCUAAUUUUUUUGUUUGACGGCCAGGAAAUUAAAAACAUACUGUUUGCCUAUCUGUGUACACCUGUGAAUGCGGGCCUGCAUCUGUAUGUGGUUGGAUCUGACAAUUUUCUAAUUGAAGAAAUUUAUAAAACAAAUCAAAUUUCAAAACUUAUCCAUGUCUAUAACCAAUGGGUUUCCUGUGGCAAGUGGUACUGCAAAUAGUACCAGUCUUUCUGUGAGUCCCUAGGCAAAGAUAGGUAAAGUGUGUUGAGCUUUGUGCCCGCCAAUUGCAUACAAGUAUAAACUCUUCAUUUCCCUUCACACUGGGAGUGUAGGAUGAGAAUAAUUGUUCUUUUGAUGUCAUAAAACUGUAAGGAGGAAUGGGGUUGUGAAAAGCAAAAGACUGAGGACAGCUCUUGGCACUGGACAAGCACUUAGUGCACUUUAACCUUUGUUAUGGCUGAUGCUAUUUUAUCCUUGUCAUAAAUGCCUACACUGUGUAACAGUUUUCAUUGGGCAUUGCUAAAAUUCUAUGACAAGACUGAGAGGACAGUGUUUAGCAGGGAUUAAUGCUGAGUAGACAAACAUCUUAUAGACCAACCAAGGUGUGCUAUCAAUAACACAUUCAUUAAUAAGAGAUUGGCACAUUUUAAAAAUCACGUUUUAUACAAAAUUAUGGUACUUUUUACAUUAAAAUACUUUGAAAAGCAACAAAUUUGCUUCAGUGUGAGUUUAAGAACAAAUUUAAUUUUAGUUUAUGAAUGAGUUUGCUGUGUAUACAUGGACAUGCCUCUGGAGGCCAGAAGAGGGCACGUGAUACCCUGGCACUGGUGUUUCAGAGUUGUAGCUCUUUGGGGCUAGAAGUAAAACCCCAUUCCUUUGCAAGAAUAAGAAGUACUCACUCGUCCUGCCUUCUCUCCAGUCCCAAUGGUAUAAUUUUUUUAUGUGUCAAGCUCAGAAUCAAUGGAGUUGAUAACAUUAAGUGAAAAAUAUGCAUUUAUUCUCUUUAAACUGUACAUUGCUGUGUUUGUAAAAAUGGAGGUUAAAGAUUAAGAACAAUUAAUUGCUGAACUCUACUUUUUGGCUAAUAUUUAAACUGUUUCUAAAGGAAUUGAAACAAUUAACCUUCUUCAUUAUGUCAAAAGUUUUAACAUUACAAAGCACUUACUGAUCCUAGUAUAAAAGCAAAAAUUAAUUAAACUAAAAACUCCAAGCAAGGCCAGAGUUCCUCACAUGUUCAGAGUACAUAUGAAGAUAAAAGCCAAAUAGAAAAAAAGAAAUUAAUUAGAUGUCCAAACUGUUCAAUGUAUGUUCAUGUAUAGUGGCAAAAGACACCAGUGCUUUCACUGGAACUGGCCUCUACUCCAUUUCAUUAAAUAUUUUAAAUGGAUUCCAGGAGAGGCCAGCGGAGCUCGCCAGUUCCUCACAGCCAUCCAUGUGAAACUUGUGUUCUAUAAGAGUGAAAAAGAACAUUCACAAAGAUUAUAGUCUCAUUUGAAAAUAAAUUAAAAAAAACUUUCCAGUGUGUAGUUAUAAAAGGAUGAUUUACAGUUGGUUUAAUAAUGACUGUAUUUUAAGAAGACUAUGGGCAGGAGGAGUUUAUGAGCUACAAAGAAUAUCCAGUAUUGUAUUUUAUGAUUCUCUGUGACAUUGCUAAUCUUUUUGUUCUUUAGUUUUAUAUCCUUUGUAAUGCUUCAUUAUAAUAUUUAAACAGGAGAAAAAACAUGAAAACCAUAUUUUUUUCAAAAACAUGUACACUGGAUAGGAAAUGCAGAGCCAAAGAGCUCAUUCCAAGUUCCUGCAGUUCUGGUCCCUUCAGCAACCACAAUGGGAUGGAUGGACUCAGUGAAUAGGGAAACACAGAACAGCAGUCUUAGGAGGACUGGAUCGACCUGUUUGUAGUUUGUUUUAUCCAAGCACAAGGUUCAUUGUCAUUUAUCUUUAACUCCCACCUAUCCUUCCCCGUUCCCUCAAUGCCAUCCUAAGAAACACUCACUUAAAAGAAAAAGUAUAUAGGAGCUCCAUAAUGGGCAGGGAAAUGUUUCCUCCAUGUAAUUAAAAAACUUCUUAUCUUCAUGGAUCUUACUCUGUUAAAAGGAGCCAACAGAAACAAUCUGGAACCUGGGACAUUGUGGAUGAUUGAUCGGACGGGUUCUUCGGGACUCAUCACCACAUAUAACAAUUACUUUGUAGUAAAUCUUUGGAAGAUUUCCAGGAGUAAAACACACAGUGACUGAGUGUUGAGUCUGUACUUUUGAUUCCUUCUCGUAUAUAUAUGUGUUGUUUUAUUAAAGGAAAAUGAAGCUUCUCAAUGCUGACGUUUUAAACACUAAACUGUCUCAGAGACAGUCACUAAACAGUUGUCAAAAGCUUCAUUUCAUUUUUUUUAAUCGAUGUAACCAUUACCUACAUCUCCCCAGAAUAUAUGAUUUACCAUUAUUUCAUUGAAAGGGUAGAGAAGCCAUGCAGAAAUCCGAGUUAAUGAAAGCAGAAACUAUUUCCUAUUUUCCUAUAUAAUUAUAUGCUAGCAAAUUAAAUAUACUCAAGUACUUAGUGGCAGUGUGUUAGGAAAGAUACAUGCUACCUAAAUAUGGCCAUGGAUAUCUAUUGCACUGAAGUGGAGCACUUUUCCUUGCCCCAUCCCUCUGACCUGCAAAGGGAAAUUAUGUAAGUGCAGGGCCAUCUAAGGAGCUCUUUCUCUUCAAACUCAUGCCUUUAUGGAGGUUUGAAAAUUCACACAGCUGUCAGGAUUUGUGCUUAUACUUCCCUCUUAACUCUUACAAACUUUUCUGUGGUUAUAGUCUCCCCACACAGGGCAUCAACUGUUAUAGUCUCAGUGUAGCCCUAAUAUGACAGCCCCUUCCCCAGCCUUUAGAGCCAGACCCUUGCUUAGCUCCAGUUCUCUUUUACUUCAUCUUUGGCCAUUCAUUUCUUGUGAUCAAUCUUUUUUUUUUUUUUUUUGGCUCCUCCCACCAACACUGUUCGUUUUAGUUUUAGUCCACUCCUUUGGAACAUGACCUUUCCUACCCAGCUGGACUGCCCUUUUCUUUCUGUGUUUCCAGAUACAUGUCAACACAGUGCCUAAUCACCCUCCUUUCCUUAGCACACAAAUUAGGAUUUGACACAAGGGUGGUAUGUGAUAUCCAUUUUUGAAUGGUACUGCAUGAAUUUGAGUGUUUUGCAUAAAUAACAGAGCGUAGCUUUUUCUGACAAUUCACGGUAGUAGAAUUAGCAUCUCUCCUUGAAUCUUUAUUUAAGAACUCCUGGAUCAAGUGAGGUGGGUGUGAAUAUCUAGACGGAAACCCAGAUGGACUGAAGCCUCAGUAUCCACCAUCCAUUAGGUACCAGCAGGUUUGGUGGGGCUUUCAAAUGCCCAUAUACCAAGGACAGAUUCCUAUGCAUUAUUAGUAUUAGAAAUUGAUAGAAUAUUUAAGAGAAAGAAACUAACUGGAGAGAAAAAAAAAGGGUAUUGGAUUACCAGUCAUGUGUUCAGGAAUUCUCUUUUCUCUUUCUUCUUUAUCUGGUCAUCAUGGGGCAAGUAGCUACACCCCACCCCUGCAUUCCCAACAACCAUACAUCAAAGACCCCAAAAUAGCAACAUGGUCAACUGACCAUCGACUGAAACCUUCAAAAGAAGAAGGGAAAAUAAUUUUUCUUCUUUUAGGUCAAUUAUCUUAGAUAUUCUACCACAGUUGCAGAAAGGUUAGUUUUCUUCACCUUAAAAACCCAUUCCCAAUGAAGGACCCAAGGAGUUGAAGGGGUUUACAGCUGUAUAGGAGGAACAACAAUAUGAACUUAGAGAUCGAUGUGGGAUCUUUAACUUGUGUUCUUUGUAAUCAGGCAGUCUGAAGCUUGCCUUGGCACAGAGCGGAGGAAGUGGUAAGUAAAGGGGAUAACAUUUGAAAUGUAGAUAGAGAAAAAUAUCUAAUAAAAUAAAAUAAAGUAAAAUAAAAUUAUAUAAAAUACUAUUCCCAUUGGAUUUUCUAUACUGUGGUUCAUGGCUUUGAAGAGUGGAAGAGCUUUGAUUCUCUGGUAUAUGAAACACAUAAGCCUCAAAUAACUCCAUACAAGCACUUUGAGCACAGCUUGACACAGUGGCCUAGCCAGAAACAGAGAAUUGGGAACUGUGUAGGUCUACAAGCCAGAAGUCCCAACGAUUGCUAAAAAGUUUUCCCAACUCUUCCCUUGUUGAUAUUGAUAAUAAAACCUGACCUUCCAAGUAGUUAAAUUUUGUUUUAUAUCAAAUUACUGUUGCAUCAUUUACUGAUCUAGGAUGUAUUUCUUAUUUUUCUCUCUGAUGCAAUAUGAGAACAGGACAUGUCAAAUGAAGGGUGGCAGUCCUUUGGAGGCCCAGUCAUGAAAGCCAAUACAUUUGCAUCACACAUAGUCACUCUUCUGUAGCUAGCUCUUGUCUGAAGAUAGGUUUACUGUGAUCAUGGAUAUUUUUAAGCGGGGUAUUUUGAUCUUCAGACUACAAAAUGGUAUAGCAAAACAAACUGUUAUUAACUCAAAACCUCUUAUAGGCACUGGAUCGUACUAUACAGCUAGUGAAGAGAAAACUCUACCUAGGAGUAGCUUCCUGCGACAACAGUAAACACAGCCCCAACUUGCCCUGGAUAAUUACCGAGGAGAUCUAUGUGGGAUCUUUAGCUUGUGCUGUUUGUAAUCAGGCAGUCUGAAGCUUGCCUUGGCUCAGAGCAGAGGAAGUGGUAAGGAGACAGACCUGUAAUUAUCAACAGCAGGUGCCCAUAAUGGAAUGCCAAAGACAUGGUCAAAGAGGCAAACACCACUUCAGCAAAGACAGUCAAUUUAGACUCAAAGGCAUUCAAAGUU